UAAUGGGUGUAAACGUUUAUAAAAAGAUCAUACAAUUUUCAAUUUGUUACAUGCUAAAAGGAAAAAGUAUGACUAAACUUAUAUGUUGUGUUUAUGUUAUAAUCCUCUUUCUUUCUGUAUUACUUGCUGUUAGUGCUGAUUUUUGUGAGGAACACUAUGAUUGCAUAUAUAAGGAGUGUUCUCAUAGUUUUGCGAAGUGCAUUUAUAAUAAGUGCCAAUGCAUGUAGUGAAUCAACUCAAAAGCAUAUUAAUUAUAUCAUGCAAAUGUGAUGACGAUAAAUCAAGAGCAUGGAAAGAAUUCAUAUUUUAAAUAUAUUAGAAUGGACUUUACUUUUUAUUUUAAUGUGGUUGUAAUAAUUCUUAGUUUGUUUUUAAUUUAGUUGAUGUCAUGUGAAAGUGAAAGAACAUUGAUUCAUUAUAUUUAGUUUAUUUUAGAAAAAGAUAUGUAUGUCCAAUAUGAGACUAUAAUGGUGUCACUUAUGACCUAUUUAAAUUUAUGGUAAAUUUUGCAUUAAGUAA
Molecule: long non-coding RNA, 519 nt
Organism: Trifolium pratense (red clover)
Lineage: Eukaryota; Viridiplantae; Streptophyta; Magnoliopsida; Fabales; Fabaceae
Exons: 3
Source: RefSeq, a predicted model, not a curated record